This 424-nucleotide ribosomal RNA is filed under the name uncultured prokaryote. RNAcentral describes it as "bacterial SSU rRNA". It matches the Rfam family "Bacterial small subunit ribosomal RNA", at positions 355 to 796 of the family's 1533-position model. The record is from RNAcentral.
UGGGGAAUCAUAGACAAUGGGGGAAACCCUGAUCUUGCCAUGCCGCGUGGACGAUGAAGGCCCUAGGGUUGUAAAGUCCUUUCACCGGUGAAGAUAAUGACGGUAGCCGGAGAAGAAGCCCCGGCUAACUCCGUGCCAGCAGCCGCGGUAAUACGGAGGGGGCUAGCGUUGUUCGGAAUUACUGGGCGUAAAGCGCGCGUAGGCGGGCUGUUAAGUCGGGGGUGAAAUCCCGGGGCUCAACCUCGGAAUUGCCCUCGAUACUGGCAGCCUAGAGAUCGAGAGAGGCGAGUGGAAUGGCGAGUGUAGAGGUGAAAUUCGUAGAUAUUCGCCGGAACACCAGUGGCGAAGGCGACUCGCUGGCUCGAUACUGACGCUGAGGCGCGAAAGCGUGGGGAGCAAACAGGAUUAGAUACCCCCGUAGUCC